CCUACGGGAGGCAGCAGUGGGGGAUAUUGCACAAUGGGGGAAACCCUGAUGCAGCGACGCCGCGUGAGUGAAGAAGUAUUUCGGUAUGUAAAGCUCUACCAGCAGGGAAGAAGCAGACGGUACCUGACUAAGAAGCCCCGGCUAACUACGUGCCAGCAGCCGCGGUAAU
This 169-nucleotide ribosomal RNA is filed under the name uncultured bacterium. RNAcentral's name for it is "partial 16S ribosomal RNA". It matches the Rfam family "Bacterial small subunit ribosomal RNA", at positions 338 to 524 of the family's 1533-position model. The record is from RNAcentral.